RNAcentral lists this ribosomal RNA (3011 nucleotides) under Tolypocladium inflatum. RNAcentral describes it as "LSU rRNA". It matches the Rfam family "Bacterial large subunit ribosomal RNA". The record is from RNAcentral. Lineage: Eukaryota; Fungi; Ascomycota; Sordariomycetes; Hypocreales; Ophiocordycipitaceae.
AGAAAAAUGAUAUAUAAGUAUUACUUGUAAAUAUAUAAGUAUAUAAAGAAACUAUUAUGGAAUUUAAGCUAUGUAUUAAAGAGAAUUAUUUAUAUAUAUAGAGAUAUAAUAUCCUAUAAUUAUAUGAACUCUAAGAGAAAUCUAAUAUUAAACGAAGUGAAUUGAAAUAUCUUAGUAACUUUAGGAAAAGAAAUCAAAAGAGAUUCUAUGAAUAGCGUGAGCGAAAGUAGAGUAGCCUAUAAAGUAGAACGGUCUCAAAACUGUUUAAAUAUAAUGGGGAACCUUCCUCAAAGGCUAAAUAUAAUACAUAAGCGAUAGUGAAAAGUACCAUGAGGGAACAAAAACAAAAAUAGUAGUUUUAUAAGCAGUUCGAUAAAAAGAACGUACCUUUUGCAUAAUGGGUCACCAAGUUAACGUUAGAUGCGAGUAUACGCGUAGUUAAACCGAACGUUAAAAUAACGAAAUAGUGUCUAAAGUUAGACCCGAAGCACGGUGAUUUUACCAUGGUCAGGAUUAUAAAAGUCCGAACGGGUGAUUGUAGCAAAAAUCUCCGAAGAACUGUGGUAGGUGUAGUGAAAGACAACACUGACUGUGAUAGCUGGUUUUCUGCGAAACCUAUAAUAGUAGGCAAUUUAAGUAAAUAUCUUAGCAGGUACAGAAUUUAAUCUCAGACAAGGCGUGUAAACGUUUUAUAUUGUAUAAAUUGGGGAAUCAUGAAGAUUUUAUCAGUGAGUAUGUAGACUCGGAAUGGCAAAGAUAUGUCUUAAAUUAUCAGACAUAGAAUGAUAAGGUUGUAUGUCGAAAGGGAAACAGCCCAGAACAAGAGUUAAGGUUCCUAAAUUAUUAGUUAAGUGAAAUUAAGAAGGUUUUUAUUAAAGUCGACAAGGAGAUAGGCUUAGAAGCAGCCAUAAUUUUAUGACCUCGUAACAGAGCGCUUGUUAAGUUAUAAAAGCAUCGAAAAUUUAACGGAUCUAAACAAUAUACCGAAACCUUGUCCAUAAUAUAUUAUAUUAAUUAUUUUUAAUGUAAUUUAAUGGGGUAGCAGAACGUUGAGCUAGAUUAUGAUUUCUAUUUUUUAAAUAGAAUUAUAUUAAUUUAACUCAAGUGAGAAUGGUGACAUGAGUAACGAAAAGAAAAUUUUCCGCCUUAAGCUUAUGGAUAUAAUUAAGUAACGGCCUCUAAGUUUAUAUUAUCUAAAGAUUUAAACGAUGAGAAAAUCUUUUUUACUAAGGACAACAUUUUAGUGUAAAAUGUGCUGGAAAAAUAGUAAAUAUAUUUGUUAUUUAUAACAAAUGAACAAUAACCGUACCUAGAAUCUGAAACAAGUAAGCUAGUAGAGAAUACGAAGGCGUAAAUGAGCUAACAAUCAUAAAGGAACUCGGCAAAUUGACUACCGUAACUUCGGAAUAAGGAGGGCUCAUUAUUCUUGAUUAAUAUCAAGUAAAGAGGAAGAAGCAUGAAAUAAUGUUGUACGACUGUUUAAUUAAAACACAGCACUUUGCUGAAAGAUUAAAAAUCUAUGUAUAAAGUGUGAUAUCUGCCCGGUGCCGGCUGGUUAACAGAGAUAAUUGAAUAUACUACUAUUUGAUGUCGACGGAAACCCCGGUUAAAGGCGGCCUUAACGUGAGGGUCCUAAGGUAGCGAAAUGCCUUGGCCGUUAAAUGCGGUCUUGCAUGAAUGGUGUAACGAUACAACAGCUGUCUCUAUGAUUGACUCAGUGAAAUUGGAAUAGCUGUGCAGAUACAGCUUACCUCUAGUUAGACGAGAAGACCCUAUGCAGCUUUACUGUCACUAAUUAUAGAGUAUGAUAGACAAUUUUCAGAAUAUAAGGUAAUUGACAAUAUGACAAUGAGAAUCCUUUAUUUUUCUUUCAUAUGAAUGAAUUGGUUUAGGAUUAUGAGUAGAUUGUAAUUAAUGUGGCUUAUUACUGAGUCAUUAAAAAACAUUAAUUAUAGUCUUUAAAUUAUUAUAUAGCUCAUUUUAGUAAAUCAGCCUAAUUCAACUUAUUAUUUUAGAAUAGUAAGUACCCUUUGGCAAGGAACUAUCGCUAGGGGACAGUUUAUGUGGGGCACAGACCCUGUAAAGAGUAAACAGGAGUGUCUAAUAAUUAUAAAUUAUUUUGUUUGCUAUUUUGAGUAGUUUAACUAUUUUUAAUCAUAUAUAAUUAUUUAUAUUUGCAUUUAUUGUAAAUAUAUUUAAGUUUAGGUAGGAUUUUUACUAUAUAGAAAUUAGAGAUAAUUGAAAACAUUACGAAUUAUUUCUAAUGUUUUCUAGCUAUCAUUUUUGAUAGUUAUGUAUUUAAUAUCUAAAAAGCUCAACGGCUAAAUCUUGCCUUACUGUUUGAUUAUCUACAAAUCUUACAGUUGCGUAAGCAGGGCAUAGGAUCACAAGAUGCAAUAAGGAAAGAUCUUGGAUUAUUGGAAAAGCUACGCUAGGGAUAACAGGCUAAUUUGCGCAAGAGUGUACAAAAUGAGUGCGCGGUUUGGCACCUCGAUGUCGGCUUAACUUAUCCUCAUGGACGCAGGAACUAUGUAGGGUGCGACUGUUCGUCGAUUAAAAAGUUACAUGAGCUGGGUUAAAUACGUCGUGAGACAGUAUGGUUUCUAUCUUCUAGGGGGAAUUAGAAUAAAAUAAGAACGAACUUUUGUACGCAAGGAACAAGAAGAGUUUAGCCCGUAAAAAAGGUUAAAAUAUAGUUACUAACCUAUGGUUUACCUGUUGUUUAUGUGCCCAAAUAUUAAAUAUAUAUGCUAUUGUAUAUAUAUAUAUGUAUUAUUAUAAUACAUAGGGAUGUUUCUCUCACUAAGAUAAAUGUAUAGCAUAAGCACGGCAGGAACGCUAAGUUGGUUAAGGAUAAGUGCUGAAAGCAUAUAGGCACGAAGCUUAUCUUAAGAUAUUUCUUAAAUAUACGUAAUAUACUAUUACGAAAUUUAUAGGCUUUAUCCGUACGAAUCUAGAGAUUUUAAAGAAUAAAGUACUAAUUUAAUAAUUCACUAUUUAUAAAUAUAUCA